GCGCGAAGCUGGCGGCGAAGGGGUUGGCUGCGAGCGGCUCGGUGCGGUACAUCUCCCAGAGCAGUAUUUCAGGAAGUUCAAAACAAAAGUAAAGAAGACAACAGAACAGACAGCUCAUACCACAGUUACACAUGGGGAGAUGGCCACGUGGUGACAGGCCAAGAUUAGAGUGGUGCUGCUAUAAGCAAGGAACACCUGGGUUACAAGAAGCUGGAAGAGUCAAGGAAGGGAGAUUGUUGGUCCCAGUGGAUCUCCUGAGCUAACAAGGAAGAUGCUCAGCUCUGUUGAAAACCAUUGCCUCUUAAAGCAAAGAUGGUUUCUUAGUCCAUUUUCUGCUGCUAUAACUGAAUACAACAGACUGGGCUGGGAAAAGCAUGGCACCAGCACUGCUCAGCCUAUGGUGUGAGAGCCCAUCCUGUGGGGGUGUGACUGACCCUUGACCCUGAGACCAAUCACUGACCCUGACCUUGGAAUGCUGUCCCCC
Molecule: long non-coding RNA, 484 nt
Organism: Marmota flaviventris (yellow-bellied marmot)
Lineage: Eukaryota; Metazoa; Chordata; Mammalia; Rodentia; Sciuridae
Source: RefSeq, a predicted model, not a curated record